RNAcentral lists this ribosomal RNA (438 nucleotides) under uncultured bacterium. RNAcentral describes it as "bacterial SSU rRNA". It matches the Rfam family "Bacterial small subunit ribosomal RNA", at positions 8 to 436 of the family's 1533-position model. The record is from RNAcentral.
AGAGUUUGAUCCUGGCUCAGAGCGAACGCUGGCGGCGUGCUUAACACAUGCAAGUCGAACGCGCAGCAUUCUGUAGCAAUACAGGGUGUGGGCGCGUGGCGAACGGGUGCGUAACACGUGGAUAACCUUCCUUCAGGUGGGGAAUAACCCAGUGAAAAUUGGGCUAAUACCGCAUAACAUGACGAUGGCACAUGCUGUUGUCUUCAAAGGCGCAAGUCGCCAGAAGAGGGAUCCGCGGCCGAUUAGCUUGUUGGCGAGGUAAUGGCUCACCAAGGCAUUGAUCGGUAGCCGGACUGAGAGGUUGACCGGCCACACUGGAACUGAGACACGGUCCAGACUCCUACGGGAGGCAGCAGUGGGGAAUCUUGCACAAUGGACGAAAGUCUGAUGCAGCAACGCCGCGUGGGGGAUGAAGCUUCUCGGAGUGUAAACCCCUUU